CCAGGUAACGCCUGGGGGGGAAACCCACGACCAGUGCAACAGAGAGCAAACCGCCGAUGGCCCACGCAAGUGGGAUCAGGUAAGGGUGAAAGGGUGCGGUAAGAGCGCACCGCGCGGCUGGUAACAGUC
RNAcentral lists this non-coding RNA (129 nucleotides) under Salmonella enterica subsp. enterica serovar Enteritidis str. 3402. Lineage: Bacteria; Pseudomonadati; Pseudomonadota; Gammaproteobacteria; Enterobacterales; Enterobacteriaceae. The record is from RNAcentral.